UCGGAGAGGGAGCCUGAGAAACGGCUACCACAUCUAAGGAAGGCAGCAGGCGCGUAAAUUACCCAAUCCUGACACAGGGAGGUAGUGACAAGAAAUAUCAAUAUAAGACGUUUCUGUCUUGUAAUUGGGAUGAGCGAAACAUAAACCGCUUCUCGAGUAUCAAUUGGAGGGCAAGUCUGGUGCCAGCAGCCGCGGUAAUUCCAGCUCCAAUAGCGUAUAUUAAAAUUGUUGCGGUUAAAACGCUCGUAGUUGGAUAUCUGCCAAGGAGUUUCGGUCCUCCCCAGUGGAGAAUACGCGGAACAUUUCUUGGCACUUGUUCAGGGAAGGUGUUUGCACUUUGUUGUGCGUCACGUGAUCUGAAUUUUUACUUUGAGGAAAUGAGAGUGUUUCAAGCAGGCUUUUGCCAUGAAUAUGAUAGCAUGGAAUAAUAGCACAGGACCCCUUUCCAAAGCUGUUGGUUUUUGGAACGAGGUAAUCAUAAUAAGGACAGUUGGGGGUAUUCGUAUUUAACUGUCAGAGGUGAAAUUCUUGGAUUUUUUAAAGACGAACUAUUGCGAAGGCAUCUGCCCAGGAUGUUUUUGUUGAUCAAGAACGAAAGUUAGGGGAUCGAAGACGAUCAGAUACCGUCCUAGUCUUAACCUUAAACUAUGCCGACUGGAGAUUGGAGUCGUCAGUCCUUGACGUCUUCAGCAUCCUGAGAGAAAUCUAAGUCUUUGGGUUCCGGGGGGAGUAUGGUCGCAAGGCUGAAACUUAAAGGAAUUGACGGAAGGGCACCACCAGGAGUGGAGCCUGCGGCUUAAUUUGACUCAACACGGGGAAACUUACCAGGUCCAGACAUAGAUAGGAUUGACAGACUGAUAGCUCUUUCUUAAUUCUAUGGGUGGUGGUGCAUGGCCGUUCUUAGUUGGUGGAGUGAUUUGUCUGGUUAAUUCCGUUAACGAACGAGACCUUAACCUGCUAAAUAGUUUCCAAAACUUCGGUUUUCGGCUUACUUCUUAGAGGGACUUCGUGUGUUUAACAUGAGGAAGUUUGAGGCAAUAACAGGUCUGUGAUGCCCUUAGAUGUCCUGGGCUGCACGCGCGCUACACUGAUGUGUCCAGUAAGCACCUAACCUCAUCCGAAGGGAUCGGGUAACCUUUGCAACGCACAUCGUGAUGGGGAUAGAUUAUUGCAAUUAUUAGUCUUGAACGAGGAAUUCCUAGUAAGCACAAGUCAUCAGCUUGUGUUGAUUACGUCCCUGCCCUUUGUACACACCGCCCGUCGCUCCUACCGAUUGAAUGGUCCGGUGAAUACUUCGGACUGUGAAAUGUUUAGUUUCUAUCCAUUUCACGGAAAGUUGAAUAAACCUUAUCAUUUAGAGGAAGGAGAAGUCGUAACAAGGUAGCCGUA
This 1389-nucleotide ribosomal RNA is filed under the name uncultured marine eukaryote. RNAcentral's name for it is "SSU rRNA". It matches the Rfam family "Eukaryotic small subunit ribosomal RNA", at positions 383 to 1807 of the family's 1831-position model. The record is from RNAcentral.